RNAcentral lists this long non-coding RNA (389 nucleotides) under Sus scrofa (pig). RNAcentral describes it as "lncRNA (ENSSSCG00055029345.1)". Lineage: Eukaryota; Metazoa; Chordata; Mammalia; Artiodactyla; Suidae. The record is from RNAcentral.
UGCAUGCAUGCAUGUGUGUAGAUGUGUGAUUGUUUAUCAGUAUCCUGACAAGAUUAAUCUUACACAGUUUUCAAUAAAUUUGCAUUUUCGUUGUGUUUUGUCCAAUGAAAUUUACAUUGAUUUUCUAUUUUAUUUUCCAGAAGAACUUCAGGAAAAAAUUGAAGGACCACAGAACUUAGAUCAAGUCCAGAAAGAAAUGGCCAGGAUGAUGGCUCAGUUCAAGGAUGAUUGGAGGAGAGAACAGUUGCAGAAUGAAGGACUUCAGGAAAAAUAUGGUAAAGCCUCUUUUAUACGCCUUCACCCCCCCAAACACUGUAGAACACCUGUGUUCGUGGUGUUGUAAAGAUAUCCCAGCUUUUAACCAACGUGUCACCACUGGCUUGCCCUCU